This 324-nucleotide ribosomal RNA is filed under the name uncultured bacterium. Its description in RNAcentral is "bacterial SSU rRNA". It matches the Rfam family "Bacterial small subunit ribosomal RNA", at positions 28 to 334 of the family's 1533-position model. The record is from RNAcentral.
GAUGAACGCUGGCGGCGUGCUUAACACAUGCAAGUCGAACGAAGCGCUUAAACGGAUUUCUUCGGAAUGAAGUUUUUGCGACUGAGUGGCGGACGGGUGAGUAACGCGUGGGUAACCUGCCUCAUACAGGGGGAUAACAGUUAGAAAUGACUGCUAAUACCGCAUAAGCGCACAGUGCUGCAUGGCACAGUGUGAAAAACUCCGGUGGUAUGAGAUGGACCCGCGUCUGAUUAGCUAGUUGGUGGGGUAACGGCCUACCAAGGCGACGAUCAGUAGCCGGCCUGAGAGGGUGAACGGCCACAUUGGGACUGAGACACGGCCCAA